AGGCGACGACGGGUAGCCGGCCUGAGAGGGUGACCGGCCACACUGGGACUGAGACACGGCCCAGACUCCUACGGGAGGCAGCAGUGGGGAAUAUUGCACAAUGGGCGCAAGCCUGAUGCAGCGACGCCGCGUGAGGGAUGACGGCCUUCGGGUUGUAAACCUCUUUCAGCAGGGAUGAAGCGUAAGUGACGGUACCUGCAGAAGAAGCACCGGCUAACUAUGUGCCAGCAGCCGCGGUAAUACGUAGGGUGCGAGCGUUGUCCGGAAUUACUGGGCGUAAAGAGCUCGUAGGCGGUUUGUCACGUCGUCUGUGAAAUCCUAGGGCUUAACCCUGGACGUGCAGGCGAUACGGGCUGACUUGAGUACUACAGGGGAGACUGGAAUUUCUGGUGUAGCGGUGGAAUGCACAGAUAUCAGGAAGAACACCGAUGGCGAAGGCAGGUCUCUGGGUAGUAACUGACGCUGAGGAGCGAAAGCAUGGGUAGCGAACAGGAUUAGAUACCCUGGUAGUCCAUGCCGUAAACGGUGGGCGCUAGGUGUGGGGUUCCUUCCACGGGCUCCGCGCCGUAGCUAACGCAUUAAGCGCCCCGCCUGGGGAGUACGGCCGCAAGGCUAAAACUCAAAGAAAUUGACGGGGGCCCGCACAAGCGGCGGAGCAUGUGGAUUAAUUCGAUGCAACGCGAAGAACCUUACCUGGGCUUGACAUAUAGAGGAUCGCUACAGAGAUGUGGUUUCCCUUGUGGCUUCUAUACAGGUGGUGCAUGGUUGUCGUCAGCUCGUGUCGUGAGAUGUUGGGUUAAGUCCCGCAACGAGCGCAACCCUUGUCUUAUGUUGCCAGCACGUUAUGGUGGGGACUCGUGAGAGACUGCCGGGGUCAACUCGGAGGAAGGUGGGGAUGACGUCAAAUCAUCAUGCCCCUUAUGUCCAGGGCUUCACACAUGCUACAAUGGCCGG
Molecule: ribosomal RNA, 954 nt
Filed under: uncultured bacterium
Lineage: Bacteria
Description: bacterial SSU rRNA
Rfam family: Bacterial small subunit ribosomal RNA
Source: RNAcentral